GGUUUCUUGAUAAUAUAGGAGAUUUAACCUGCCCACUGAUAAAAUUAAAGGGCCGCGGUAUUUUGACUGUGCAAAGGUAGCAUAAUCAUUAGUCUUUUAAUUGAAGACUCGUAUGAAUGGUUGGACGAACUCAAAAYUGUCUUAUGAAGAAGAAAUUUUAGUAAAAAGGAUGUAAUGUUUUUGAGGGACGAGAAGACCGGUUGAAUUUAAUAAAUAAAUGAGAUGACCAGGUUGAUAAAAAGAUAAUAGUUAGUUUUUUAUAAUAUAAUAAKGGGGKKAUUAGAAGAUAAAUUAACUCUUUAUUUUUUAAAUUUAAUUGUAGAAAAGGAUCCAUUAAGAAUUAAUGAUUAAAGAUAAAUUACCUUAGGGAUAACAGCAUAAUUUUUUUUAGAGUUCUUAUCAAAAGAAAGAUUAUGACCUCGAUGUUGGAUUAAGAUAAAUUUGGGUGUASAUGUUCAAAUAUAAUUUAGGU
Molecule: ribosomal RNA, 472 nt
Filed under: Oligonyx insularis
Lineage: Eukaryota; Metazoa; Arthropoda; Insecta; Mantodea; Thespidae
Description: partial 16S ribosomal RNA
Source: RNAcentral